UACGUAGGGUGCAAGCGUUGUCCGGAAUUAUUGGGCGUAAAGAGCUCGUAGGCGGCUUGUCGCGUCGGCUGUGAAAACCCGCGGCUCAACUGUGGGCGGGCAGCUGAUACGGGCAGGCUGGAGUUCGGUAGGGGAGACUGGAAUUCCUGGUGUAGCGGUGAAAUGCGCAGAUAUCAGGAGGAACACCGGUGGCGAAGGCGGGUCUCUGGGCCGAUACUGACGCUGAGGAGCGAAAGCGUGGGGAGCGAACAGG
This 253-nucleotide ribosomal RNA is filed under the name uncultured bacterium. RNAcentral's name for it is "partial 16S ribosomal RNA". It matches the Rfam family "Bacterial small subunit ribosomal RNA", at positions 524 to 776 of the family's 1533-position model. The record is from RNAcentral.